RNAcentral lists this unclassified non-coding RNA (612 nucleotides) under Brasilonema fatamorganum BLCC-T71. RNAcentral's name for it is "Brasilonema octagenarum BLCC-T71 partial contains 16S ribosomal RNA, 16S-23S ribosomal RNA intergenic spacer, and 23S ribosomal RNA". The stretch from base 1 to 156 matches the Rfam family "Bacterial small subunit ribosomal RNA", at positions 1380 to 1533 of the family's 1533-position model. The record is from RNAcentral. Lineage: Bacteria; Bacillati; Cyanobacteriota; Cyanophyceae; Nostocales; Scytonemataceae.
UUUGUACACACCGCCCGUCACACCAUGGAAGCUGGUCACGCCCGAAGUCGUUACCCUAACCGUUCGCGGAGGGGGACGCCGAAGGUAGGACUGGUGACUGGGGUGAAGUCGUAACAAGGUAGCCGUACCGGAAGGUGUGGCUGGAUCACCUCCUUUUUAGGGAGACCCGACUCAAUUCAAAAGUCAAAAUUCACUCAUUCAAAAGCAAGAGUUUUUGGAAGUUUGGAUUUGUAAUAAAACUUUGAAUUGGUUUUAUCCCGAGGUCGAUCAUUAGUCAAUAGUGCAAGCUUUCAAACUAUUUUUGGUUCGCCUCAAUUGUCUAAAUAUACACUUACUAGAAAAAUUAAUUUGUUACCUCUGAACUAUAGCAGUUAAUACGUAUAGCUUUAGUAAAUUAACAGUAUUAAUUAAGUAAAUAAAUUUUCAGCAUCUUGUGCUUAAAAGCAAGAAUGCUGGGAAAUUUCCAGCAAAAGAACCUUGAAAACUGCGUAGAAACGCGAAAAAUGUCAGGUAGUUAACUGUGAAUCGCAGUUAACACUCCGAACAAAAACAGCAAUGAUUGUUUGUAGUCAAGCAAUGAAAGGCGAAUGGUGGAUACCUAGGCACACAGAG